UACGUAGGGUGCGAGCGUUGUCCGGAAUUAUUGGGCGUAAAGAGCUCGUAGGCGGUGUGUCACGUCGGCCUGAAAACCUGCAGCUUAACUGUGGGCGUGCGGUCGAUACGGGCAUCACUGGAGUUCGGCAGGGGAGACUGGAAUUCCUGGUGUAGCGGUGAAAUGCGCAGAUAUCAGGAGGAACACCGGUGGCGAAGGCGGGUCUCUGGGCCG
RNAcentral lists this ribosomal RNA (213 nucleotides) under uncultured bacterium. RNAcentral's name for it is "partial 16S ribosomal RNA". It matches the Rfam family "Bacterial small subunit ribosomal RNA", at positions 524 to 736 of the family's 1533-position model. The record is from RNAcentral.